GGAAAUGUGCCUGAACAAAAGGGUAACUUUGAUAGAGUUAACAAUAGAGACUUAACCCUCUCAUUUCCU
This 69-nucleotide transfer RNA is filed under the name Anolis strahmi. Its description in RNAcentral is "tRNA-Ile". Lineage: Eukaryota; Metazoa; Chordata; Lepidosauria; Squamata; Anolidae. The record is from RNAcentral.